Molecule: ribosomal RNA, 253 nt
Filed under: uncultured bacterium
Lineage: Bacteria
Description: partial 16S ribosomal RNA
Rfam family: Bacterial small subunit ribosomal RNA
Source: RNAcentral
GACGGACCGUGCGAACGUUGUUCGGAUUCACUGGGCUUAAAGGGCGCGUAGGCGGACGGUCAAGUCAGGGGUGAAAUCUUUCAGCUCAACUGGAAAAGUGCCUUUGAUACUGAUCGUCUCGAGGGAGGUAGGGGCAUGUGGAACUUCCGGUGGAGCGGUGAAAUGCGUAGAUAUCGGAAGGAACGCCGGUGGCGAAAGCGACGUGCUGGACCUCUUCUGACGCUGAGGCGCGAAAGCUAGGGGAGCAAACGGG